Small nucleolar RNA from Nycticebus coucang (slow loris), 138 nucleotides. Lineage: Eukaryota; Metazoa; Chordata; Mammalia; Primates; Lorisidae. The record is from RefSeq and is a predicted model, not a curated record.
AUGGGGCAGAAUGUUAUACUAAAGAGAUACCAAGAAAAUGUAGUAAGAGGAGGAGCCUAAAGAAUUAUCUUUCUAUGGUCUGUUGGCCAUUUCAGAACUUUGCAAAUGUAAUGGUCAAUUCAUUAGAAAGAAACAGUA